This 1326-nucleotide ribosomal RNA is filed under the name metagenome. Its description in RNAcentral is "bacterial LSU rRNA". It matches the Rfam family "Bacterial large subunit ribosomal RNA", at positions 1608 to 2913 of the family's 2925-position model. The record is from RNAcentral.
UCAAUAGAAUGCCGGCGACCGGCGCACGGGUGCGUAACGCGUAUACAAUUUGCCUUAUACAGGGAGAUAGCCCGGAGAAAUUCGGAUUAAUAUCCCAUAAUAUUAUUUUUCAGCAUUGGAGAAUUCUUAAAGCUACGGCGGUAUAAGAUGAGUAUGCGUCUGAUUAGCUAGUUGGUAAGGUAAUGGCUUACCAAGGCGACGAUCAGUAGGGGGGCACAAGCCAGGGGGUGGCGACUGUUUAUCAAAAACACAGGGCUCUGCGAAGCCGCAAGGCGACGUAUAGGGUCUGACUCCUGCCCGGUGCCGGGAGGUUAAAGAGAGGUGUGCAAGCAUCGAACUGAAGCCCCGGUGAACGGCGGCCGUAACGAUAACGGUCCUAAGGUAGCGAAAUUCCUUGUCGGGUAAGUUCCGACCUGCACGAAUGGAGUAACGACUUCCCCGCUGUCUCCAGCAUAGACUCAGUGAAAUUGAAUUCCCCGUGAAGAUGCGGGGUUCCCGCGGUUAGACGGAAAGACCCUGUGAACCUUAACUAUAACUUCGCAGUGGCGUUAUCGGUGGUUUGUGUAGGAUAGGCGGGACGCUAUGAAGCAUGGGCGCCAGCUCGUGUGGAGCCAACGUUGAAAUACCGCCCAAAUCUUCGGUGACGUCUAACCUCGGUCCGUAAUCCGGAUCAGGGACCCUGCGUGGCGGGUAGUUUGACUGGGGCGGUCGCCUCCCAAAGAGUAACGGAGGCGCGCGAUGGUAGGCUCAGGACGGUCGGAAAUCGUCCGCUGAGUGCAAUGGCAUAAGCCUGCCUGACUGCGAGACUGACAAGUCGAGCAGAGACGAAAGUCGGCCAUAGUGAUCCGGUGAUUCUGUGUGGAAGGGUCAUCGCUCAACGAAUAAAAGGUACUCCGGGGAUAACAGGCUGAUGAUGCCCAAGCGUCCAUAGCGACGGCAUCGUUUGGCACCUCGAUGUCGGCUCAUCACAUCCUGGGGCUGGAGCAGGUCCCAAGGGUAUGGCUGUUCGCCAUUUAAAGUGGUACGUGAGCUGGGUUCAGAACGUCGUGAGACAGUUUGGUCCCUAUCUGCCGUGGGUGUUGGAAACUUGAGAGGAUUUGUCCCUAGUACGAGAGGACCGGGAUGAACAUACCUCUGGUGGACCAGUCGUGACGCCAGUCGCGCAGCUGGGUAGCUAUGUAUGGUCGGGAUAACCGCUGAAAGCAUCUAAGCGGGAAACCCACCUCAAAACCAGGUUUCCCUGAGAGCCGUGAUAGACUAUCACGUCGAUAGGCCGGGUGUGGAAGAUCCGCGAGGGUCGUAGCUUACCGGUACUAAUUGCUCGAA